Molecule: long non-coding RNA, 876 nt
Organism: Mustela erminea (ermine)
Lineage: Eukaryota; Metazoa; Chordata; Mammalia; Carnivora; Mustelidae
Exons: 4
Source: RefSeq, a predicted model, not a curated record
UUUUUUCCAGUACACAAGUAAGGGUAUUCACACAAGGACACUGUAAUGAUAUAGCUUACCAAGACCAGAAAUAAAGUGCUGUGUAUAUGUUAUCAUUAUUUAUGGGUCUAUGGAAAACCCAGCAGUGGAGAUGAGUCCAAUGAUGAGUAAUGAAGAUAUGUAUGUUGUAGUUGUUGUCUUGAAUUUGGUUCCUCCGUUGCAUUUGUUCAAAGAACUGAAGAUCAGGAAGUAUAAAAAUAACAGGACUCUACAAAUAUUUUUAAAAUUUCUAGACUGUACUUGAAAUAAUUCCAUUUGAUUCUAUAUGCUUUGCUAUCCCCAAAGUAGGAAUUUUGUGUGUUAAGAGAACUAGUACCACUGUCUGAUAAUCAGCUUCUGAAGAGGGAAAGCCUUCAGAUCAUCUGAACAUCAUACAUUUCAUAAUUAAAACAAAUCUCUUACCUUCUAUAAACAUUGACUCUGUGAAACCCAACUGCCACCAGGUUGCUUAUAAGCAACACUGGCGUUCUACCAGAGUAACAUCAGAGAACUUGUUAGAGAGUGAAUACUGGGUUGAGAGAUAGAGAAAAAAAGGUUUAUGAAUCUUCUGUGUCCAGAUGAAUCCCUGUUGAAUUCUAAGUCUGUUGUGGUGACUUAAUCCACAGCCCAUUCAGUGCUCCUUACUACUACCUCUGAAAUCUGACUACACAUUCUAUCUGUGGAUCUAGGAACCUUGCAGAACUCAAGUUGAGUCUCACCAGGAAGCUGAAGUAACAUGUAUUAUGCAGAGAAAGUAUUCCUCUGAAUAUAGAAUACUGUCCAGAAUAUAAUCUCCAAUGAACAAACAGGUGUUUAUAUGGUCGGUAAAAAUCCCAGUUCUGGGGUGCCUGGGUGGCU